RNAcentral lists this transfer RNA (62 nucleotides) under Helix pomatia (Roman snail). RNAcentral describes it as "tRNA-Thr". It matches the Rfam family "tRNA". Rfam says of the family: Transfer RNA (tRNA) molecules are approximately 80 nucleotides in length. Lineage: Eukaryota; Metazoa; Mollusca; Gastropoda; Stylommatophora; Helicidae. The record is from RNAcentral.
AUAAAUAUAGCUUAAUAAAAGCGUUGGUUUUGUAAACCUAUGUUGCAUACAUGCUAUUUAUA